RNAcentral lists this long non-coding RNA (6495 nucleotides) under Lynx pardinus (Iberian lynx). Lineage: Eukaryota; Metazoa; Chordata; Mammalia; Carnivora; Felidae. The record is from RNAcentral.
UCUCAAACAGCUUCUACUGGGAGAUUAAUUAUAGAAGCCACAGUAUUUCCUGAAAAUGGUAAAACAUUUUAAAGGAAUACUAAGACACUGCUUGAUAAAUGGCUUCACUCUCUAUUGCCUAACGAUUCAAAAGAAAAAUGCAUGUUUGAAAUAGAACAGGAUGUAAUGGAAAUCUAAGUAGAUGGGCUAUAAAAUGUAUUUUAUUAACUAUUUACAGUGGCUAUGUAAAUUGUUUUCAUCUGUGCUGGAGAAAGUUCUCUGUCAGGGUUUGUGGACCUUUCCUGGUGCUUCUCUCUUUGAUUUGUAGUAGAGAGGUGAGGGGACACAAAUGUGAGGGUUGUGUAGCUGGAUCUUCAGAUAAGCUUCACCAGGUACUAUCUUAGCACUCGACCGUGUCGUUCAGAGAAAACACCCUCCAGCAAAGCAAGGAAAGAACCAAGAAAGACAAGCGUGUUUGCAUCCUGGAGAAUGUCUCCUGUCACCAUUGUCCCCGGAAGUUUGCCUCGCUUCUAUUAGAGUAAGAGGGCUACAAUUCCAUGGCAUGGUCAUCUCUUAGGGCAAAAUGGAUAAUGCACCCUACAACUUGGCUUAUCCAAAUAUAACCUCUCUCUUGUCCCGUUUGUGAAAAGUGCCUCCCGGAAAAAAGAAAAGAGAAAAAAGAAAACAUUCCAUGUGUUUGGAAUGAAUUUCAACUUAUUUAUUUAUUUAUUUUUAAAAAAAAAUUUUUUUAAUUUUUUUUUUAUUUAUUUAUUUUUGAAGGACAGAGAGACCGAGCAUGAGCAGGGGAGGAGCAGAGAGAGAGGGAGACAUAGAAUUUGAUGCAGGCUCCAGGCUCUGAGCUGUGAGCACAGAACCCGAUGCGAGGCUCCAACCCACGAACCAUGAGAUCAUGACCUGAGCCGAAGUCGAACGCUUAACCAACUGAGCCACCCAGGCGCCCCGAAUUUCAACUUUUUUAAAAGGUGGCCUGAUCUUGCCUUAAAACGUGCAAUCACUUUGACAGUCGUUGUGGGAUCUGUCAGGUAGUUUGUGAAUCAUCAAGACUCCUGGCUUCUCUGCUCUUGGCCAGUCUUCUAAUCCAUUCGCUGAGCAAUGGCGAGAGCCAGGCAGUGGUGCUGUGUUACCCUAUAAGCAGACUGGUUGCCUACAACAUGAAGACACUCAGAAAACAUCUUUUUGAAAUGAAUUUGAGGGGGGCCUGGGUGGCUCAGUAGGUUAAGCAUCCAACUCUUAGUUUCGGCUCAGGUCACGAUCUCCCAGUUGGUGAGUUCCAGCCCCACGUCAGGCUCUGUGCUGACAGCUCAGAGCCUGCUUGAGAUUCUCUCUCUCCCUCUCUCUCUCUGCCCCUCCUAUGCUCUCUCUCUCUCUCUCUCUCAAAAUAAAUAAACUUAAAAAAAAAAAAAAAGACUCUGAAACUUGAUAUUUCAAAAGAAGCACUAAGACUUCCCCAGUGGGGAACAUACCAGAACAUUGUUCUGCUUCUUUACAGUUAAUUAUGGUUUAGUACCGUUUUUAUUUUUAAUUAUAUACGGGGGUGGCAGCACCAUAAUCUUCUUAGUGCUGAGGUCUUCUAAAAUCUUAAUCCGGUCCUGAUAUGGCUCCAGGCUUAGAUGUUCAUGAAGGGUCUCACGUGCACCUGCUACCCGCUGCUUUCCUGUGGUGAGUUCCAGAAGACCAGGCACCAUGAGUCUUGCUGUCCUCCAGUCCUCAGUACCUAGCCCAGUACUGGGCACGUAGCAGGUACAACAGACCUUUGUCGCUGUAGUCGCUGGUUCCGCUUUUAACAGUUGCGAUGAGUGUCGCUAUUAAGGCAGCCCCGCUUCCUGAUAAAGCCAAUGAAUGCAUCACUCCCCAACCCCCCGUAGCGGGUGGAGGAGACAGACACACUUGAAGCAAUUAGUAAAUGCGAAGUGCUGUGCCCGGGGCUUGACAUAAGUUAACUCUCUCUUUAAUCCUUGUAUCAAAUCCUGAAGUCGGUAUGAGCUCCAUAUUACACCUGAGGAACCUGAAGCGUGGAGGCUAAGCGGCUUGACAAAAGUCAAUGAAAUAGGCUUUUCAGGCAAAUGAAAUAGGAAAGCAUCAGAGCACGGUUGGCCUGACCCCCUAACGAGGGCUUUUUUCAUUACAUGUGUUGCCAGACUGCUCGAGUUCAAUAGACUGAUCACUGGUGUACAAAACUAAGAUAGAUGCACGUCAAAAAUAGCCCAGCAGGUCAGUAUCUAUCCAGUCAUGCUCAGCAUUAAAAAAAAAAUUGAGGACCUAUAUGUAAGAUUAUGGUGGGAGCGGGGUAGGAAGAAUUCCCUGCAAGGGUUAGGACUCCAGGGGACAAUUCCUGGGUCUGAAUAAAUCUCAGAAACUUCUUAGGACCGAGGCCCUUCCUUGGGGCUUUGAGAAGAGCUGGAUUUGGGAUAGAGCCAAGCCCAAAGCUGGGAGCAGCGUGAUGGGUUUUGGAUCUUGUCUCACCUGUUCCAAGCUGGGAGGUGGGGUGGGGGAAGUGGUGGUGGUGGGGGGGGGAGUAGACAAUGUCUGAGGCUCAGUUCAAGACUAUUUUCAGGAAAUCUUGGACUUUCCACAAUUAAUCAAACAGAGGCGAUGCCCAGAGAAGAUGCAGAACAAACUCCAUAGGUCCUGGGCAGGAAAGGCAGCUAGAUGGUGAAAUAAUCUCUCACCUUCCAGGUGACACGAAACCAACCUACUCUUCUUCCUAACAAUGGAAAGAAAACAGUCUGAACUGGAGGGGGGAAAGGUAUUAAGCUGCAUGAAUGAAGGCACCUUAAAUGGAGGGCAGAGACCCGGUAUCCUGUGUAUUGUUUUGAAAUAGGAGUCAAAAUUACCUGUCGGAUUGGUGUGGGGCAAGACUAAAGGGAAAAGGAGGUGGACAGACAGCCUUUCAAAGUUCUUCUAGCCAGAAGUUUCUGUAAUUGGAUGGCUCCUUUGGAUCGUUCUCCAUUCCGUCUUAUUCUUUUUAGUCUAGUGUUUCACUGGCUCCAUUUACGAGGGAAAAGAGAAAGUUACUCCCUGGUUGCAUAAGGCCAGGUCCAGGUCGUACAGAAUAAUGAAAUGGGAAAGCUCACAGACCCCCACGUUCGACAAUGAAAGAAGAAAUUCAGACCUCUGCUUAUGACAUGAAAUGAGAAAAUGUGCGUUUCACACUGUUCCCUGGCACCGGGGUUUUUGAAGACCAAGGAGAGACAGGAGGAUAGGUUAUCACAAGCAAUCCCACAUAUCUGGCUUACCUAUCUAACCCAUUCUUUGUUUUCCAUGAUAUUUGGAAAUUGUAAAAUUUGACAUCAGUGUUAAGGGUGUGAAUAGAGUAUUAGGUGUGAUUAGUCAUGAAAAGGAGGUGCUUUGUGAGCGCACUGAAAUGAAAUUGAAGAACGUAGGCAUGAUGUAGUAAUGAGUUGUGUCAACAGAGGGGAGAAAGAAUGAGAUUAAAAAAAAAAAAAAAAGAUAGUCCACUGUGGCAGGGGGCUAAUUAUCUUGACAUCUCAUCUUCCAGGAGGCUAACAGUUCGUUCACUCGCUAAAAGUCAUCUCGGAGUGACUCGCGGAGAUAUUUUUAAACACGCCAUUUCAUAAUGCAGCUAUGUCUGCUUCUGAUAGUUGAACUCUUAAGGACCAACUGUUAAAGCAAAAUAUGAAAUACUCUGUGCGACUCCGUGCCUUAGACACCGGGAGGUUAUUAGCAAUAAUAAGCCCUUUACCACCAUUCAAAUGAGUUCCUGAAACUUGCUUUGAGUACUUUGAGUGACUGCAGUUCCUCUGCGUGAAUGGCCCAUACUUCAUUUUGUGUCACUAUUUUUGUCUGAUUAGACAUAAUGGUUUUGGAAAGUGGUCUAGGUAGAGGGGUUGAGGGAUACUGGCGGAAUAAAAAUAAAGAGCAAGACGUAGGUAAGCUUCUGGUUCCAGAACUCCUCCAACUGGCUUUGUUAUCGCAGUCAUUUAGAUAAAUGAAUAGAGUUACAUCGUUUCGGGCAAUUUACAUGAAUUUAGCUCAUUAAUCUCUGCAACCACCCCAUGAAAUAAGUUCUGCCGUUAUCAGUCCUGUUUUACAGAUAACGAAAUUGAGGAUCAGAGAGGCUAAGUAACUUCCCCAAGGUCAUGUAGGAGGUGAAGCAGGGAAGUCAAAUUUGUACCCAGCCUUUUCUGCCUGCAGAGUCCCUGCUCUCCUGUUCCUUAGUAUGUGGCAUCUCUGAGCUGGUCAGUGAUUACCACGUGUGGACAAGGUACUAGACACGGAGCCAUGACUGGCUAUAGUGUGGACCAAACAGACGUGGCCCCUGUCUUCAGGGGGUUGACGCUCCAGAAGUAAAGACAGACACCAAACAAAUAAUUUAAAAUUCUUAAAUAAUUUCAAGUGUGCAAAGAUCUCUGAAGAAGCAAGGAGCAUUGGGUUUUUUCCUCAAAAAAAAAAAAAUGAGGAAACUCAAGUCUCCCUUCUAGCUCAAUCAUUCUACUUGCUUCAGAAAUUUACAACCCCGAUUAGAAUGCAAGCCCAAGGUACAAAUCAUUCGACCUACAAAAAUUUUGUUCAGCCCAUACAGCGUGUGCUGAUGAAUAAAAGCCUCGUGUUCUUCAAUUACAACCACUUUCCUUCUUUCUUUGAGGCCUAAAAGAGAGCUCUAUCAGCUUUGUUCUAAUCCAUAACAUUUAUAGAAUGCCUUAGAAUUGACCAACAUUCCAUGGAGACUCAUUCCACUGAGCCUUUCCAACAGUCUUGAGAGGUGGAUGCUGGUCCCCUCGUUUUGUAAGUAAUAUAUUUACUGAACACUCUGUUAUGUGCCAGACCCUGAGCUCAGCACUUCACAUACUUUAUUCAAUCAAUUCUCGUAACAACUGUAUGAAGGCAAUACCAUGAUCUACAUUGAGGAAGUCCAAGCUUAGGGAAGUGUUUUGUCUAAAGUCCAACAGCUGGGAGGUGAAGGAACAGGGAUUACCUGCACCAUGGCCCGAGCCCAUGACACCUUGAUGGGAGCUAUGACUUUCCCCAGGCCACGUAGCCAGUGAAGGGCCAUGUUAGCACUUGAACUUGAGUCCUUUGUUCUCUCCUCCAUAACUUAGAAAACUCCUAUACCUAGGUCUGCUUCUGGUGUUUGGGCACAUAGGCUAGAGGAAAGGUAUUUUGAAAGUAACUCAAGUGUAGAUAAAUUGAGGAAUGUGUUCUACUUCAUUUUAAAGUGACAUAUGGCUAUUAUCAACCUUUUUUUUUUUUUUCUUCUGGGAACAAAGAAGGUUUGCAUUUAUAAGGCAGAAUCCUUAGCAAAAGCAUUUCCCAUGUAUGAUUGGAGUCGAUCCCCGUUGCAGCCUUAUCUAGUUUUGACAUGUUUAUUACUGUGAUAGUGAAAGUCAAGAAAUGCAGAAAUAUGGAAUGCAGACACACCAAAAUUAACUUCUAAUAUGGUCAGCUAAAAGAAACCAACCUCCAAGCCAGCGGUCAAAUGGUGACAUUGCCCAAGAAAGUAGACUUUGAAAGCUUUUAAUCUGUAGAUCUCUCAUUCGAUUUUUCUGUGACUCAGUCGUGCUUCCCCGAAGUUCUUAUGAGUGAAAAGUCUUUGUGGUCUUUUGAUAACGUUGAUAACAUUGGUAGAUGGAUAAUAUUAUUUCCAUCAAAUACAGUUUCAUCUAGAAGUGCUAUCGGAUGCCAUUCAUGAGAGGUGACCGCUCACACGUUAAAAUUCAACGGUAAAUGGGGAAUGCUAGCUAAUUCUGAACAAUGUUAAUUUUUUAAAAGACUGGGAUGUAAGUUAUUAAGAAAAAAACAACUGCUGGGUAUAAAAAGUUCUCUAUUCUCCGACACAAGAAUCUAGGCAAAAGAGAGAGAGUGUGUGUAAAAGAAGACACGAUGGCUUCGGCACAAAUAGAAGAAUUAAAGAUUCAGAUUAAAGAUAAAGGAUAAAACUCCAGCCCAGGUUUGUGACCAGCAAUUUAUUUCCCUGUCACUAGAUGGGGCUCACUAGUUGAGGUUACUUCCCUUCCAGAUCUGCAUUUUGUGUCCCACAACAUAAAGAAUUCAACUGGGCCUUUGGGUUCAGCAUUUUAAAAGAUAAGUUAUUGGAAGGUAUUCAAUGGGAAUCCUAAUAAGAUUGACUUUUUUGUUGACCACAAUAGUCUUAUUGAGCAAAGCUAGCUCUAUCCCAAUUUAACAUGAAAUAGGUCACUAUUAGAAAAGACAGCUUUAUUGUGUUUGUAUUUGGGAUUAACGGAUAAAAUAAAUAGUUCUUUUCUUCCCACAGGGGUUGAUGAGCCAGCUUUAUUCUAAAUGACUGAAGACUUCUGUUCUUUUCAACAAACACAGUCCUCCAAUUAGGAGCUGCAAAUAAGAUUAUAUGCCCUGAAUAAGUCUGAAAAGGUCCUUUUAUAAUUAGAAAGUUUGUGUGUGGGAAGUAGAAGCAGCAUUAAGGGUUCACUGUGGCUUUAUUAAGAGAGUGACAUGAAGAUUUCCCCAAUCCUCAUUUGAGUGCUCUGAAAUGAUAAAAACAAAAAUUAUAGAAAACAG